CCUACGGGGCGCAGCAGUGGGGAAUAUUGGACAAUGGGCGAAAGCCUGAUCCAGCCAUGCCGCGUGUGUGAAGAAGGCCUUCGGGUUGUAAAGCACUUUCAGUGGGGAAGAAAGCCUUGGGGCUAAUACCCUCGAGGAAGGACAUCACCCACAGAAGAAGCACCGGCUAACUCCGUGCCAGCAGCCGCGGUAAUACGGAGGGUGCGAGCGUUAAUCGGAAUUACUGGGCGUAAAGCGCGCGUAGGCGGUCUGAUAAGCCGGUUGUGAAAGCCCCGGGCUCAACCUGGGAACGGCAUCCGGAACUGUCAGGCUAGAGUGCAGGAGAGGAAGGUAGAAUUCCCUGUGUAGCGGUGAAAUGCGUAGAGAUCGGGAGGAAUACCAGUGGCGAAGGCGGCCUUCUGGACUGACACUGACGCUGAGGUGCGAAAGCGUGGGUAGCAAACAGGAUUAGAUACCCUUGUAGUC
Molecule: ribosomal RNA, 465 nt
Filed under: Vreelandella stevensii
Lineage: Bacteria; Pseudomonadati; Pseudomonadota; Gammaproteobacteria; Oceanospirillales; Halomonadaceae
Description: partial 16S ribosomal RNA
Rfam family: Bacterial small subunit ribosomal RNA
Source: RNAcentral